GACAGAGGAUGCAAGCGUUAUCCGGAUUCAUUGGGUUUAAAGGGAGCGUAGGCGGCCCUAUAAGUCAGUGGUGAAAUCUUUGGGCUUAACCCAAAAAUUGCCAUUGAAACUGUAGGGCUUGGGUACAGUUGCUGUGGGCGGAAUAUGACAUGUAGUGGUGAAAUACAUAGAGAUGUCAUAGAACACCGAUUGCGAAGGCAGCUCACAAAACUGUAACUGACGCUGAGGCUCGAAAGUGCGGGGAUCAAACAGG
This 253-nucleotide ribosomal RNA is filed under the name uncultured bacterium. RNAcentral's name for it is "partial 16S ribosomal RNA". It matches the Rfam family "Bacterial small subunit ribosomal RNA", at positions 524 to 776 of the family's 1533-position model. The record is from RNAcentral.